ACAAAAUCCUAGCCGCCUCCCUCCUCAUCCUCUUCUUCUCUCGAGCAGCCACCCAAUUCUGCCUCCUCUUCAAACGAGCUUCAAAAACAAAAAAAGAGAGUUGAAGAACCAUGUAUUUUGAAAAUAUAUCAAUCUCUUCCAAUUUGCUGGACGAAUCCGGUUGCUUUUUAAAGUCGAAUCGAAUUCUUAAGGGGUUGUUUGUUGCUAGGACUGUGGCUGAGCCCCAUUCAUUGCUUUUCCUAUCUUUAUUUGGGUUCAAUCGAGUUUUUGCUUUUAGAUUUAGGUAUAUAUCUGUAAAACUAUACUUCUGUUAUUGAAAUAAUUGAAAUUUGCUCAUGUCAUUUUUGGCUUCUGCUGUGCUUCUUGAUCGGUGCAGACUCAAUCCUAAGAAAGAGUGGACGUGACU
This 406-nucleotide long non-coding RNA is filed under the name Nicotiana benthamiana. RNAcentral's name for it is "long non-coding RNA (NBEN_LNC004494)". The record is from RNAcentral. Lineage: Eukaryota; Viridiplantae; Streptophyta; Magnoliopsida; Solanales; Solanaceae.